Molecule: long non-coding RNA, 1032 nt
Organism: Myzus persicae (green peach aphid)
Lineage: Eukaryota; Metazoa; Arthropoda; Insecta; Hemiptera; Aphididae
Exons: 3
Source: RefSeq, a predicted model, not a curated record
CUGAUAUUAAUAUAUUAUAAUACUACUAUAAAGACUUAUAGUGUAUUACUAUAAAAGCUAUUAAAGUGUAAGUCUAAAGAUAUUACAGUUAAUAUAAGUUAUAAUAUUAUCAUAAGUGGUUUUAGUAGUUUUACUGGUGUUAUUAAAUUACAUAUUUCUUGUACAAUGUCUAAACGAGACUUACAAUUUACAAGACACUAAAUUGGAUGGUAAGUUUUUCACAAACUUUACAUACAAAAUCGCCAAAUAAAUGUGGUUACAAUUUUCCAAUGAAUUACCUGAAUACAUUGCCUGUCACAAAAAAGAACUAAAUUCAUUCCUAUGAAUGGAAAAAGGUAUGGCAAGAUAUAAGAACCACUAUCAAAAUAAAAGAUCCUGCUAUUAAAAACAUACUCACUGGACAGGAGUUGGAUGUCCGUGUGAUAUUACCGGUGUUCAGUAGUAACACAUUAAUGUAACAACGUAACCUUAUUUAUAAUGUUUCUAAAGAAAGAUCUUCAGCUGUUCAAGAAGUUACAAGCGGUUACAAGCAAAUAAUUAUGUUGCAAAAUUUAUAGCCGACCACACUGAUAUUAAGAUAGAAAUUAACUCAGCAUAUUAUUUUGAAAAGUUAAAGCUAAUGUAUGAUAACUAUGGUCUCUUAAGCAGCAUAAACAUAUUGCUGAAGUCAUUCAUUAAAACAAGAAGCGAUCAAUAAAAUUCAUUAUAUUUAAAGUUUUUAAUUUAAUUGGUACGUCCGAGUUAUCUCGACUACUUAAAUGUUUCCAAGACUACCUUAACAUUUCCAAGAUUAUUUCAUAUAACCUGAUAAUAUACUUAACUUUGAUCGGCUAAGGUUUUAAAGUGGCUAAACAAAAACCAGAGGGGAACAGUUCACCAUCUUCUAGACUCAUACCUGACUUAGCUUGUUUGAUCCAUUUUCAAAGAUUUGUAAUUAAAGUGUGCUUUCCUCCACAAAAAAAUUAUCAACUUUUAUUUAAAUUAUUUAAUUUUUGUUUUAAAUUUAAAAAUAUUUCUUAUACUUUUAAUAAA